RNAcentral lists this transfer RNA (66 nucleotides) under Amphioplus laevis. Its description in RNAcentral is "tRNA-Arg". Lineage: Eukaryota; Metazoa; Echinodermata; Ophiuroidea; Amphilepidida; Amphiuridae. The record is from RNAcentral.
AGAAGUUAGUUUAAAACAAAUAGUUGGUUUCGGCCCAGCAGAUCCUAGUUUAGCCUAGGACUUCUC